Molecule: non-coding RNA, 709 nt
Organism: Chelonoidis abingdonii (Abingdon island giant tortoise)
Lineage: Eukaryota; Metazoa; Chordata; Testudines; Testudinidae
Source: RefSeq, a predicted model, not a curated record
UCAUCAGUGAAUGUAAUUUCUGCCUGCAAUUUAGUAAGAAUGUCCCGUCCAAGGAGUGCUAUGGGACAGGAGGGGCUACAAACAAACUGGUGAGAAAUCUGACGGUCCCCUACUUUUACAAGAAGAGGCAAAGUUUUUUCCAAAGCUGUAGUUUGUCCCUCAAUCCCCUGGACUAUGGCACAUCCCUGAGCUCUACCUCGGGGAGCCUUAUUAAGGGGGAGCAAACUAAGGGUAGCCCCAGUAUCAAUAAGGGCUUCAAUUGGGCGGCCCCCCACUUUAAUUUUCACCGUGGGAUCCAGGCUGGCGGCUUGUGCUGCCAGGAGGGGCCGCUGGGUCCCCCGGCCUCCCUAUGGGGAGGAUUCUUCCCCCGGGAUUCCUGUAUUGCUAUAGAGGAUUGGACGGGGCGGGGUUCUAUCUUUAUGCUCCCUUCCCGUGGCCUGUCGCCGGGGGCAUUCAUUCUUCCAAUGUCCCUCCUCCCUACAGAUAGCACACUGAUUCCGACCCAGACGGGGGCCUUUUCCCUUCCCCAACGGCCCUGACCGUUCCUUAACUUUGUCCCCCCUUUCCUCAUAUCCUUCCCUUAGGGCCAUGGCCAAAGCGCGGGCCCCUUUCUUUCGUUCCUCAUCAUCCCUUCGAUCAUAAACCUUCAAAGCAAUUGCUAACAGUUCCUCUAUAUUUUUGCCCGACGCCCCCUCCAACUUUUGCAACU